RNAcentral lists this unclassified non-coding RNA (378 nucleotides) under plant metagenome. RNAcentral describes it as "partial contains 5.8S ribosomal RNA, internal transcribed spacer 2, and large subunit ribosomal RNA". The stretch from base 1 to 105 matches the Rfam family "5.8S ribosomal RNA", at positions 50 to 154 of the family's 154-position model. The record is from RNAcentral.
GAAAUGCGAUAAGUAAUGUGAAUUGCAGAAUUCAGUGAAUCAUCGAAUCUUUGAACGCACCUCGCGCUCCUUGGUAUUCCUUGGAGCAUGCCUGUUUGAGUAUCAUGAAAUCUUCAAAGUAAAUCUUUUGUUAACUCAAUUGGUUUCUACUUUGGUAUUGGAGGUCUUUGCAGCUUCACACCUGCUCCUCUUUGUUCAUUAGCUGGAUCUCAGUGUUAUGCUUGGUUCCACUCGGCGUGAUAAGUUAUCUAUCGCUGAGGACACUGUAAAAGGUGGCCAAGGUAAAUGCAGAUGAACCGCUUCUAAUAGUCCAUUGACUUGGACAAUACUUUUAUGAUCUGAUCUCAAUUCAGGUAGGACUACCCGCUGAACUUAAGC